AUUGAACGCUGGCGGCGUGCCUAACACAUGCAAGUCGAGCGGUAAGGCCCUUCGGGUACACGAGCGGCGAACGGGUGAGUAACACGUGGGUGACCUGCCCUUAGCUCUGGGAUAAGCCUGGGAAACUGGGUCUAAUACCGGAUAUGACCUCAUGACGCAUGUUGUGGGGUGGAAAGCCUUGUGCGGCUAGGGAUGGGCCCGCGGCCUAUCAGCUUGUUGGUGGGGUGAGGCCUACCAAGGCGACGACGGGUAGCCGGCCUGAGAGGGCGACCGGCCACACUGGGACUGAGACACGGCCCAGACUCCUACGGGAGGCAGCAGUGGGGAAUCUUGCGCAAUGGGCGAAAGCCUGACGCAGCGACGCCGCGUGAGGGAUGACGGCCUC
This 385-nucleotide ribosomal RNA is filed under the name uncultured bacterium. RNAcentral's name for it is "bacterial SSU rRNA". It matches the Rfam family "Bacterial small subunit ribosomal RNA", at positions 28 to 418 of the family's 1533-position model. The record is from RNAcentral.